Molecule: non-coding RNA, 294 nt
Organism: Paramuricea clavata
Lineage: Eukaryota; Metazoa; Cnidaria; Anthozoa; Malacalcyonacea; Plexauridae
Source: the annotation of a GenBank genome assembly
CCUUUCACUAUCUUUUUUUUUCUUAACUAUUUUAUGAACCAGUUUUAAUUCAUAACCUAGAAACCUUAAAUAAAAACCUUAUGAUUUCUAGAAAAUUCCUUGCCCUAUUCUUGUAAAUAUUUUCUAUUAUUCACUGUUAAUUGAGGUUCAGUUUGACUUUCGCUACCAUUAACCAAUCAGAUGCGUUCAAUCUACACGAUUAACCAAUCAAAUGCGUUGUGCAAGUCAGUGAGUGAAAUGAAUAUAACUGGAACUACCUUCAAAUAAACUGCCUAUCUUUUUCUUGAAGCCAAA